AGAAAUUUAGGUUAAUAAGACCAAGGGCCUUCAAAGCCCUUAGUAAGUAAACUAUACUUAAUUUCUG
Molecule: transfer RNA, 67 nt
Filed under: Saguinus midas (Midas tamarin)
Lineage: Eukaryota; Metazoa; Chordata; Mammalia; Primates; Cebidae
Also listed under: 2 other names
Description: tRNA-Trp
Source: RNAcentral